AGAGUUUGAUCCUGGCUCAGAUUGAACGCUGGCGGCAUGCCUUACACAUGCAAGUCGAACGCGAAAGGGGGAGCAAUCCCCCCGGUAGAGUGGCGAACGGGUGAGUAAUACAUCGGAACGUAUCCUGUAGCGGGGGAUAACCUCUCGAAAGAGAGGCUAAUACCGCAUACGACCUACGGGUGAAAGAGGGGGAUCGCAAGACCUCUCACUAUUGGAGCGGCCGAUGUCGGAUUAGCUAGUUGGCGGGGUAAAAGCCCACCAAGGCGACGAUCCGUAGCUGGUCUGAGAGGACGACCAGCCACACUGGAACUGAGACACGGUCCAGACUCCUACGGGAGGCAGCAGUGGGGAAUUUUGGACAAUGGGCGCAAGCCUGAUCCAGCCAUGCCGCGUGGGUGAAGAAGGCCUUCGGGUUGUAAAGCCCUUUCGGCUGGGACGAAAAGGUCCGUGUUAACACCACGGAUCCAUGACGGUACCAGCAGAAGAAGCACCGGCUAACUACGUGCCAGCAGCCGCGGUAAUACGUAGGGUGCAGGCGUUAAUCGGAAUUACUGGGCGUAAAGCGUGCGCAGGCGGUCGUGCAAGACAGAUGUGAAAUCCCCGGGCUUAACCUGGGAACUGCAUUUGUGACUGCACGGCUGGAGUGCGGCAGAGGGGGAUGGAAUUCCGCGUGUAGCAGUGAAAUGCGUAGAUAUGCGGAGGAACACCGAUGGCGAAGGCAAUCCCCUGGGCCUGCACUGACGCUCAUGCACGAAAGCGUGGGGGAGCAAACAGGAUUAGAUACCCUGUUAGUCCACGCCCUAAACGAUGUCAACUGGUUGUUGGACGGCUUGCUGUUCAGUAACGAAGCUAACGCGUGAAGUUGACCGCCUGGGGAGUACGGCCGCAGGUUGAAACUCAAAGGAAUUGACGGGGACCCGCACAAGCGGUGAAUGA
This 936-nucleotide ribosomal RNA is filed under the name uncultured bacterium. RNAcentral describes it as "bacterial SSU rRNA". It matches the Rfam family "Bacterial small subunit ribosomal RNA", at positions 8 to 939 of the family's 1533-position model. The record is from RNAcentral.